RNAcentral lists this ribosomal RNA (2982 nucleotides) under Candidatus Zambryskiibacteriota bacterium. Its description in RNAcentral is "bacterial LSU rRNA". The stretch from base 93 to 2140 matches the Rfam family "Bacterial large subunit ribosomal RNA", at positions 15 to 2044 of the family's 2925-position model. Lineage: Bacteria; Candidatus Zambryskiibacteriota. The record is from RNAcentral.
UUCAAUUUAAAAUUUUCAAAUAAUUUCUAAUUUCCAAUGUUUAAAAAUUAAGACAUUGAAAAUUUAAUGAAAAUUAAAAAUUAAAAAUUAAAAAUUUCGUGACGAGCGGUAGCGAGGCACGGGGCAUACCCGGGGAAGUAAAACAUUUCAGUACCCGGAGGAAAAGAAACUAAUAAGUAUUGCGUAAGUAGCGGCGAGCGAAAGCGCAGAAGCCCAAACUGAACACUGAACUUAAAUUUCAAAAAAGGUGAGACCUUGAAAAUUUUCCAAGGUCUCACCUUAGGAUUGAAAUUUAAGUUCAGUGUUCAGGGUUGUAAGACGUAAGUGUUAUGUUUACAUAAGGAAAGUUACAAAAUUGUUUGUUAGAAGAAGCUUCUGGAAAGAAGCACCCCAGAGGGUAAUAGUCCCGUAUUUGAAAACAAAUAAUCUUUCUUGCUUAUGUUCUUGAGUACCUCGAGACACGAAAAGCUCGGGGGAAUCUGCCGGAACUAACCGGUAAGGCUAAAUAUAUUUCUAGAUCGAUAGUGAACUAGUACCGUGAGGGAAAGGUGAAAAGUAGCCCGGUGAGGGCGGUGAAAUAGACCUGAAACCAUAUGCCUACAAGGAGUCAGAGCGGACGCUUGCGUCCGUCAUGGCGUGCCUAUUGAAGAAUGAGCCAACGAGUUAAUGUAUGUGGCUGCCUAAGUGGAAUACCCACUGAGGCCUAGUGAAAGCGAGCGUGAAUAGCGCGAAAUAAUAGUCGUAUAUAUUAGACCCGAAGCCAAGUGAGCUUGCCAUGGGCAGGGUGAAGCCUCUCGAAGGAGAGGUGGAGGCCCGAACCGGUUGGUCGUGCGAUUCCUUCGGAUGACCUGUGGUAAGAAGUGAAAAGCUAAUCGAACUUGGUAAUAGCUGGUUCUCUCCGAAAGAGCUUUUGGGUUCGCGUCGCGUGUUCCUGUUGGGGGUAGAGCACUGGAAGGUUUAGACAGGGAGCAAUCUCGCUAAACCUAUCAAACUCCGAAUACCAGCAGUUAAAAAUGCGGCAGUUAGACGGUGGGGGCUAAGCUCCACUCGUCAAAAAGGAAACAGCCUAGAUCUCUAUUUAAGGUCCCUAAAUUUAUGCUAAGUGCGCUUAAGGCGGUGAAAUUUCUGUGACAAUGAGGAGGUUGGCUUAGAAGCAGCCACCCUUUAAAGAAAGCGUAACAGCUCACUCAUUCAGAGAUUUUGCGCCGAAGAUAAUCGGGGCUAAGCAUAAUACCGAAACUGAGGGUUUGUAAACUUUAUUUUCGCAAUUUUUAAGGGGAGACCUUUAAGAAAUUUCCCAAGGUCUCCCCUUGGGGCGAAAAUGAAGUUUGCAAGCGGUAGGAGAGUAUUCGCAUCCGCUGUGAAGGUAAAGGGGUAACCCAUGCUGGAGCGUUGCGAAGUAAGAAUGUUGGCACAAGUAACCACAACGCACCUGAAAACGGUGCGCGCCGAAAGACUAAGGUUUCCUUGGCGAUGACAAUCAGCCAAGGGUUAGUCGGGCCUAAGGGAAUGGCGAAAGCCGUACUCGAUGGACACACGGUUAAUAUUCCGUGACUUUUGUAUGUUGCGAUGGAGAGACGGAGUGCAGUAUGUAUUGCUCAUUAUUGGAUUUGAGUCGGUAUUGUAAGGGUGUCGCAUAGGUAAAUCCGUGCGACUCUGUUUAAUCAGAAAUCCAAGCAAUAUUGAAACCUGGAGAUUCGUCAAAGGGGAUUUUACAAAGCGCGCUUCCAAGAAAAACUUCUAAGCAUAAACAUAUAAAAACCGUACCGUAAACCGACACAGGUAGUCAGGUCGAGAAGACCAAGGCGAACGAGUGAGAUGUCCCCAAGGAACUCGGCAAAAAAGCGGCCGUAACUUCGGAAUAAGGCCUGCCCACAGUAAUGUGGGCUGCAACAAAAGUAUCCCUGGCGACUGUUUAUCAAAAACACAGCUCCCUGCGAACUCGUAAGAGGAUGUAUAGGGGGUGACGCCUGACCAAUGCCAGAAGGUUAAACAACGACGUUGUGUGAAUCGUAAGAUUUGUAUGGUGAUUGUUGUAAGCCCUGGUGAAUGUCGGCAAUAACUAUAGACACAAUUGUAGUUAUAAAAUCUAGCUAUAUGCGGGAAACUCUGAGUAUCCGUUUGCUACUCGCUAUAAAUCGAAAUAGCAGUAACAAUGCAACGGUGCAGACAAUCCGCAGGAAAGAUUCUGAUAAGCAACAAAAUAAAAAAUGAGUCAAAAUUAUUCGUGGCUUAAGUCAAUUCCUCAAAAUAUAGGAAAUUAUAUUGCUGGUUUUGUAGAUGGAGAAGGAAGCUUCAAUGUCUCAUUACGAAAAAGGGAAGAUCAUUCUCUUGGUUGGCAAGUGAUAUUGACUUUAAAUGUUGCUCAGCGCGACAAAACGGUCCUUGCUCUUAUGAAGCAUCAUCUAGGAUGUGGAAGAUUACAAGAACGUAAAGAUGGGGUUUGGUAUUAUGUAAUACAAAAUUCUGUCAUAAUUGAAAAAAGAAUAAUACCUUUUUUCAAAAAAUACCCCUUUCUUUCUUCAAAUAAAAAGAAAAAUUUCUCAAUUUUUUCUCAAAUUACAAAUAUGAUCUUCAAAAAAGAGCAUUUAAGUAAUAAAGGAAUGUUAAAAAUAAUAGAAUUGAGAGAAAAAUUAAAUGAAGGAAAAGGAAGAACAAGAAAAUAUAAUUUAAAAGAUUAUAAGAAUUCUUUAUCAGAAAAUCCUCAGAGACUAUACGCUAGACCGAAACCGAGAAAUCGGAAUUGGAAGAUAUAGUCCGAUCUCAUUGGCGACAAUGAGGAUUCUAGUGCUACUGCUAGAUAAUAAAUAUGGAUGAAUUGUCCUAAGGUAGCGAAAUUCCUUGUCUGGUAAUUGAAUUGCCAGCUUUGACGGUGACGUCAAUGAAAAAUUCGGCUAAUAACGGUGAAGUCUUAACCCGGAAUCUUAUUUCAAGGAUAAGGUGUUAAUGGAAAGAUAAUAUCGUGGGAACUCUAUAGUAUAU